Mauremys mutica (yellowpond turtle) is the source of this 171-nucleotide long non-coding RNA. RefSeq lists it as uncharacterized. The transcript is spliced from 3 exons. The record is from RefSeq and is a predicted model, not a curated record. NCBI's taxonomy places the organism in Eukaryota, Metazoa, Chordata, Testudines, Geoemydidae.
GCCUGUUCUGCCUAUGCCUAAGGACGGCCCUGACUUGAUUCUUGGAACACUGAAGAAGUUUCAGGAGAUUAGAAGUACCGGUUUUUAAACCAUGCCUAUCACCAUGAUGAUGGAACUAUUUCUUUAGUGAUGUAUUGAUUACUUUACAGUUACUGACCAAGAACCAAAAGG